This is a non-coding RNA of Pogona vitticeps (central bearded dragon), 637 nucleotides long. Lineage: Eukaryota; Metazoa; Chordata; Lepidosauria; Squamata; Agamidae. The record is from RefSeq and is a predicted model, not a curated record.
GCUCUUUCCAGUGUUCUGCACAGGGCAAGCUUGCCAGGAUAACAUCUUCCUGUCUCUUUUCUCUCCCCCUCCGCCUUGCUCCCACAUUUUGAAGGGACUUGGAAUUUUUUUUCCCCCUCAGCCGGUCACAGUCUUUGGAAACUCCUCUAUCGUCCCUCUGGUUCUCUUUGGUCUCUUCCUGACUUUUCCCCGCACAUGGAGUGAGGCCUUGGCAGGCCGGGUCCAUCCGCCGAGCAUCACGAUGGAGCGGUUGCCAUGGGAACUGGCGUGGUGGCUUCAGGCCUUUUAUCUCCCGCAAAGGCAGGGCUUGAGCGCCAAUUGAAGCUCUCACAGGAGGGCAAACGUCCGGGCGACGUGCAGAGAGAGGCAGCAACACGCAGGCAUCCAUAAAGGCUGAAAGCAGAAUCUGGAAAUAACUUCUCGGAACCUCUGUAUGGAAGUCCGACAGCCUGCUUGACCUGCAUUAUCUAUAGAUCUUCUUAUGUAAUAAACAAUAUUCCAGGCUUGGAGAGAAUGUUGCACCUGCAGGCCAUAUAGAAGUUAAAAAUGAGAAAAAUGUGGGAAGAAAAGAGAUGGAAACUUUUAGUACAGCACCACAAAUAUGGCUGAAUAUAAAGGAAUUCAAGAGUCAAACAGA